AUGGAGAUGCUUCGCACACAAAGGCAUCGGCUCAGUAGAUGGAUGGAUGCGCUGUCUUCUACCUCCUCGGCACACUGUGCUCUUUGUGGACAUUCGGAGUCCGUGUCGUGUCCCAGCGUCCUGCGGGUCGUCUGCCGGGGGGCUCCGACGUCACGCCACGGGCCCCUUCAAAGGCUCCACUCCCCGCUCCUCGUGCGUGGGGAGCCACAGCGGCCAUGGGCUGCACGCCCUCCAAGUCCGGCGCCACGUACUGCCAGGAGCGCGCGUGCGGGGACCUGGACACGUGCUCCACGGUGGUCGCGAGCGCGAAGAGCUCCCUCUCAACCCCCGAGUGGCCGCCCGCGAACUCGUGCGUGGAAACCGAGGGUGGGAAGCAGACCUUCCUCAGAGUGCCCUCUCGCAGCUGGCAUGGGCGCGCGCCGGACGCGUGCAACGAGCUCAGCGCGGCCGCGAGCCCCGGCCCUGACCCCGCGAGCCCCGCGCGCACGCCUCGCGCCGGCCCCAGGGCCAGCAGCAGUGAGAGCGACGGCGACUCCUCGAGAGAGAGCGAGACGCCACCGCGUGAUCAGAGGAGGUGACACGAGCCUGCAGCGGUCACGUGCCACAGUCUGAAGAGCAUCCGUGCGUCCCAUCAAGUACAUGCAGACGCAAGAGUUGUGUACCGUUGUGCGGUGAUGGGAUGUGUUGUCACGUGCUGUCCACAUGGCACGCGCACGCUGACUCAGCCUUUCUCUUUGCUGUGAAACGACAAGCUAAAUUUUUGACUGUUAUUUACUCACGGGAGUAGAGUAUAACCUCGCAAUACAGUGACGUUUACAGUUUCCAAAGUGUUUAUGUUGAACAAAUUCUUCGUGUUUAGGCCUGUAUUGUAUUAUACUGUAUAUCUGAUCUCUAGAACCGAUAUACAUCACUAAGGUAUUGAUAUUGUACAAUAAUCAGACAGCACACAUAUAGGGAAAAUAUGGUCUAAAUUUGUCCUGUGCUCCAAAGAUGCAUUUAUAAAGUUAUAAAUAUACUGAUAAUGUACAUAGGCCCAUGACUGUUGUAUUCACAUAUAAAGUUAGUGAACCAAUGAGACGUUUUCUACCACAGCAAAUUUCACACACAAACAAAUAAAAUGCUAGUUAUUAAUAGAAACCCCA
This 1142-nucleotide long non-coding RNA is filed under the name Scleropages formosus (Asian bonytongue). RNAcentral describes it as "lncRNA (ENSSFOG00015028042.1)". Lineage: Eukaryota; Metazoa; Chordata; Actinopteri; Osteoglossiformes; Osteoglossidae. The record is from RNAcentral.